UCCUCUUGCUGGCUUAAGAGAAGCCCAUGGUGUAACUGGAAACCCCUGAGCUCCUUGAGGCAGCUGAUUUUGUUGGACAUCAUCAUCAAGUGUUUGAUGGGGUAGGGUUAUGCUUGGUUAAAGUUGUAGUUAUUGAUGUAAAAAGAACUGACUAGAAUCGAAGUUGUAGUAGUGUUAGGUUAGGUAUAAUAGAACAACUGAAAAGAAUGGUACAGCCUAGAGGGUAAUGGUUGGGAGAACUUUUUUGUUUGUAUGACAUGUAAAACCACAUGAUUUUGCUAGUGGGUUUACAAGCAGCGUAUCAAAGAAAAUGUACAGAGAAAAUUAUCAAAUGGAAGUUUUGGCCUUCUAACCUUUUCGGAUAAAUUAAAGUAUAUUGCAAGCACAGCUCUCUGUAAUUUUCUUUCUUCUUGAAUUACCACUUAGCCCUGCAUGGGGUUGUGGCAUCAUUUUUUGUGGCCAAAGUGAUCCUUACCAGAUUUUGAGACGGGGUCCAAGUAUAAAGCAUGCAAACUUCGAAAGCUACUACUGAAGAUUUUGUUCCAUCUGGGUUACAUAUUAGUAGCAAAGUUGCCUGUCACCUGGAACUCAAUUUGGUAAAAGAAAUGAGUUUAAUUUUAGUCCCAGGAAACAAUAAUUAAUUACUAAUAUGCAUAUGAUUAAAGCAACAACAGAAUUACAACAUAGUAGUAUCUAGGGAAAGAAAAAAAUGGCAUGAUUAUCAUACCUUGUACUUUGCCUACCUCGCCAUACCAUAAAAUUAGGGCCCUCCAUUGUGUUAAAGCAUAGGUGAAAACCGUGAAAUGCAUAAAUUCAACAAAUGAACUAACAAUCUGAUUUCUCAUUGAACAUUACUGACCAUAUCGAGUUUUGCAUUGAAACAUUAAAAUUGAAGACUGGAAGAAAACAGAAAUCACAGCUCUACUAAAUGAGUAAUUCAUGCCAUAUAAUUGCAAUCUAACCAUGAAACUUAAUUAAAUUGCAUAUUCUUAUAUUUUCAUGGCAUAUAAAGCACAUUUAUAAGGGGUACUCUACAACUGAAAAAUGUGAGAUGAAAUUUUCUCACAAGAGGUCUGUUGCCCUAUAUAUCCAGCAUUGUGAUUGACACUGGAAAAAAAAACACCAAAUUGUCUCUAUCGUACCAAUCACAAGAAUUGUUUACAAUAUUGUAGGAUGAAGCAAUUCUUGUGAUAAACCAGAGUUUUUAAAAUGUGUGCAGAAAUUCUUACGUUACCAACCUAACCAGAUAAUUCACUACAAGAUGUUGAAAACUCGUCUCUUUUCUGCAUGCAAAUGAAACCCGAGUUUCCAAGAGAAGCAAGAGAAGAGUAAUGCAUCUACUGUAGCUACAGAAUCAUCCAACGAAAAAUUUCAUCAAGAAAAAAAAGGUACAGCCCCUACCUUAUUUUGCAAUAAUGUCAAAUGUAACUACAAAUACAAGCAACCAAACAGAUCCAUAGGUUUUCCUUGUUCAUUUCCCAUCACUUUUCCAAUUGACAUAUAAAGAAUCCUCUUGGACAAAAUGAUUAUAAUUUAUUAACAUAAAAGCAGAUUCUUAUAUAUGACCCUCCUUAGCAUUGUGCUCGUCUGUGUUGAAGUUGACCUCACUAACAUCUAGUUUCCUUAUUCAAUUUUUGAUCAUUUUGAAAGGUCUAUCAAGUUCCUUCAAAUUUUUUAAGUUGCCGAGUUUAAACUAUCCAGAAAAGUGGGAUCAACCAGUUUAUACUAUUAUGUUCUGUGAUCCAACAUUUUGCAUAAGCUAGAUGUCAAGAAAUACUCCCACCAUUCCAUAUUAUAAGAUCAUUAUUAACUUUUGAAAGUCAAUUCAAGACUUUUUCAAACUCAAAAUUGAUGAUAAAUUUUACAAUGGGUAAUACUUUUUAUAUAGUUUACAAUAGUCAUCAUUGUAUUAACCAAAAUUAAAUUUUAAGGAAUUUAUGUUAAUUUUGAGUUUGAAAAUAUCUCAAGUUAAUUUCAAAAAGUCAAUAAUAAAACUAUAUUUUGGAACGGAGGAAGUACUUAGUUUACUAAAAUGUGGGGCAAGAACCACUUACAGUGUCUUAAUUAUGUUUCAACUUAAUUACACAACUUCCAAUAACCAUCUCUUCAAAUUAAGUCAAGCUAAAACCUCAUUGCAAUUGGCACAUGUACUUAAUAAGAUUAGAUGGGAAAGAAAACUUGCUGCUCAACAUAGCAAACAUUUUAAUUCACAUAUGAAACAUUUCAACCAUUGUAAGAAGACCAUUACCUAGUGUUUCUCCCAAUUUGCUAUGGUUGCUGGUAGAGAUGAGUAGGGGUUAAACUAAGCCUUCAACUUUGUCCAACAAAUUGGCUGCCCCCGUGCUUGUUUUCUGAUUCUCGCAUUUAAUAGUUCAAAUAUUUUCCAUUUUACCAUGCAGUCCUCAUUCAACACUGAGAGAAAAGGGGAGUCAUAAACGUGAAAUUGUACUACACCCAAUAAUCGUCAGUGUUGGUUACAGAAAAGCAUAAUGUUUUUCUCGAACAGAAGAUUGAAAGAUUUGACAAAACAACCUUGUAACACGGGCUGUAUUGUUUACCAAAGAGGAGCCCAUUGUAGGUGCAGCUAUAUUAAGAUCCAAUCUAUAAUACAAACUCCGGAACAAAUUAUGAGAAACUUGAUGACUCGCCAAAUAUAAACAAAAUAGAGAGAAAACUAGAGCAAUUUAUUCACACCGAUGUAUAUAAUGGUGUAUUUAAAUCCACUCCUCGUCUAAUGCUCUGAAUGCAAAAGUGGUAAGUGUCGUAGCAUUAUUUAUACAGAACUAUUCUCAGAUACAAGAGUAAUCCAUCCAACUGGAGAGUAAAAUAAGCAAGAAAGCAGUGCUCAAGAUAACUGCAUAUUCUUCUUCUUAGAGGUAGGAUUUUAAGCUUGUCAUAAUUAACAGUGUUUUGCAGAAUCAUGGGUUGUAGAUUCCAAUUUCCUAAUGAGUAUUUAUCAAGCCAUUCAACAGAGUAAACAUAGACGUGGUACUAAUCAUAUAGGAAUUCAAGAAAGAAUCAAAUUUUUGCAAGAUCAGAUUGUUGAGCAAAAUACUCCUAGCAAGGAAAUGUUCAAUAGCAUCAAUUAGAAGAGAAAUAAAUAAUGAGAGAGAUUUUAGGAACCUGAAUUUUUGCUUGUGUAAAAAUUAGUCUUGGAUCAGGUAUCAAAGAUGAAGCUUUUCCAAAUGAUAAAAGGAACUUACUCAUAUACUAUUAAAAUUCCCAAAAAAUAGCAGAUCCGUAAGUAUAUAUAUAUAUAUAUAGUUCAAAAACUUCCAACUAUGCAUCCAUCCCUAAAUCAAACCAACUGUUCAUGUAUAUAUAUAUAUAUAUAGUUCAAAAACUUCCAACUAUGCAUCCAUCCCUAAAUCAAACCAACUGUUCAUGUAUAGUCAGGUCAAAAUGAUUUCUUUGAAUCCAGAAAUUUGAACAUAUUAGGAAAAUGGUAUCUUAAUUUAGCAUCUAUAUGUCAGAAAUCACUCUAAAUCUCUAAUAUGAUAGAUUAUACUGAAAUAUCAACCUCCAGUUAGCAACCAUGGGAUUAUAAUAACCUGGGAUAGGAAAAAUUUUCAAGCAAUGCUUUUCUGCCCAAGUAUCCAAACACAAUCUAUUAACUGGAUAUACAAUCAGAUCAUAAAAGAACAUGACUAAGUACAAGUACUAAUAACCACGAGCUAAUUAGCCAGAGGGAGAACAGUAAAUAAUAGAAUUUUUUUCACACACACAAAGAGAGAGAGAGAGAGAGAGAGAGAUGAAUUAACUUACUAAAAUGGAAACUUGUUGAUAUUCUUUUCAUCAUCUUCAGGGAGUGAUCAGUGAUAUGAAAUUAGGCUGAAAGAGAGAGAAUGAGGGCCAAGGGCAUCUAUUUCCCAUAUAAAGAUUUAAGGUUUUUUUAAGGAGAUAAUCUCUCUCCCUCUCCCUCCCUCUCUACAAUUUAAGAGUGGAUUGAAACAAACCUGCCAUAUUAUUAAGUUUAACCUAAAAAUUCUAAUAAGGAGUUAAUAUUCAAUCUAACAAGACGGUUCCGGAAAUAAAUCUCUUCAUAAAAGAAAGGAACUUUAAAGCUAAAAUUUGAGCACCACGUAAACCAAAAGGGACUUUAAAGCAAAUAUGAGAUUUCUAAUUUUCAUUAAUAAGCAGUUUAAGGUGUGAUCAUCAAAUAAAAAAUGCUGGAAAAAUCUAAGACGGAAAGAGCACUCUUGAAGAAAUCCCUAUCAAUUACUCCAUAUUUAAUUUGUGUGGAAAUUCCCCCUGAACAAUACUACUAAAUGGUCAUCAGAACCUAAGGAGAUGGUAAUAUUCACAGAUCUACUUAUUUGGGUCACCCUUUUACCAGAUAAGCAAAAGGAGAAAAAUAGCAAGUGUAGUGUUUUACUAUUAAAUUACAAUAAACAUGUGUAAUGUGACUGCAUUUAUUAAAAUUGAAGUAUGAAUAUUGAACGAGAUGGGUCAAAAA
This 4456-nucleotide long non-coding RNA is filed under the name Panax ginseng (ginseng). RNAcentral's name for it is "long non-coding RNA (PGIN_LNC012788)". The record is from RNAcentral. Lineage: Eukaryota; Viridiplantae; Streptophyta; Magnoliopsida; Apiales; Araliaceae.